Long non-coding RNA from Rosa chinensis, 541 nucleotides. RefSeq lists it as uncharacterized. The transcript has 6 exons. NCBI's taxonomy places the organism in Eukaryota, Viridiplantae, Streptophyta, Magnoliopsida, Rosales, Rosaceae. The record is from RefSeq and is a predicted model, not a curated record.
GUUUCUUUCAUUUUUUAGCUGAAUUGACAGAGAGUGGGGGUUGAUUGGUUUGAUUAGAGUUUGCUUAUGAGGAAUUUGUAUUUGAUUGCAGGUAGAGGUUCUGGGCGAUUGGUUGGGCUGAUUGGGAAAAGGUGAAGUUUUCUAAGGUUGAAUUGCUCCCAAAAGGCUUGGAAAUCCAGUUUCAAUUGCUCGCAAUAAGCUUGGAAAUCUGGUUUCUUUCACAGAAGGCAUUGAAAAUGUAAUUUUCUGUUUGUAUGUAGUUCAGACUCCAAAGUUGCAUAUACUCAAGAACUUGGGAAAACCAGUUUUUUAAACUUCUUGACGCAGAAGUUUGACAGUUUAAGGAUUCUGCUCCAAGCCUUACCUUUCUGGCAAAAGCUGAAAUCAAUUGGGAAGCACGAACAAACAAGUGGUGACUCUCUAUCCUCUACAUCAAAGGGGAAGAAGGUAGAUAAGAUAACUCGGAGAAAAGGAAGAGGGGACGGAAAGCUGUCAUGGUUUCGUUUUGAUUGCGCACAACAAUCGUGACAGGCAAUUAACC